AAUGAACGCUGGCGGCGUGCCUAACACAUGCAAGUCGUACGAGAAAUCCCGAGCUUGCUUGGGAGAGUAAAGUGGCGCACGGGUGAGUAACGCGUGGGUAACCCACCUUCGAAUCUGGGAUAACUCCGCGAAAGCGGUGCUAAUACCGGAUAAGACCACAGCCGUUUCGGCGGCAGAGGUAAAAGCUGACCUCUCCAUGGAAGUUAGCGUUCGAGGACGGGCCCGCGUCCUAUCAGCUUGUUGGUGGGGUAAUGGCCUACCAAGGCUGCGACGGGUAGCUGGUCUGAGAGGAUGAUCAGCCACACUGGAACUGGAACACGGUCCAGACUCCUACGGGAGGCAGCAGUGAGGAAUUUUGCGCAAUGGGGGAAACCCUGACGCAGCAACGCCGCGUGGGUGAAGAAGGCUUUCGGGUCGUAAAGCCCUGUCAGGUGGGAAGAACCGUUUCGAUACUAAUAAUGUCGAAGCCUGACGUACCACCAGAGAAGCACCGCCAAC
This 498-nucleotide ribosomal RNA is filed under the name uncultured bacterium. Its description in RNAcentral is "bacterial SSU rRNA". It matches the Rfam family "Bacterial small subunit ribosomal RNA", at positions 29 to 501 of the family's 1533-position model. The record is from RNAcentral.